AUGUUCUCGUCGCAGUCACUCAGCCACGUCAACAACAUCCGCACGGCGCUGAUCAACGUGCAGAAGGGCAACCAGUCGGUGUCCUCCUUCUUCGCCACCAUGAGGGGGCUCGCUAAUGAGCUCGCCGUGGAGGGAAAACCGAUCCAGGACGACAAGCUCAUAUCCUACAUCAUCCAUGGGCUGGACCAAGAUUAUCAGCCCCUCGUCUCAGCCUUGGACGCCCGUGUCACUCUGGUAACCCUUGAUGAGCUCUUUGCCAUGCUUAGCUAUUUUGAUCAGCGCAUGGCGCAGUACCACGGCUCCGGUGACGGCUUCGAGUCCUCGGCAAACUCCGUCUCCAGAGGCCGCGGUGGUGGCUCUCGCUCUCGUGCCUCCUCUCGUGGCAAGGGGAGGUUUGGAUCCGGCGGCGGCGGCUACUCCAACAACACUCGCGGCGGCGGACGCUCCAGCAGCUCAAAAGGGCACCAUGGUGGCAGCGCCAACAGGUCGCGCCCGGACCUGCCUCGCUGGCAAAUUUGUGGCAAGCCCGGUCACACGGUGAAGGACUGUUGGUACCGC
Molecule: ribosomal RNA, 558 nt
Filed under: Triticum aestivum (bread wheat)
Lineage: Eukaryota; Viridiplantae; Streptophyta; Magnoliopsida; Poales; Poaceae
Description: partial small subunit ribosomal RNA
Source: RNAcentral